CCAGGCAGUUUUCCUCAUUCCUUUGCCCCUCCUCUUCCCAUUUGUUUUCAUUUCUCCCCCUUCCUCCUCCUCCCCCUCCUCUACCUCCUCCUCCUCCCCUCCUCCUUCUCCUUCUUCCCUCCCUCCCCAGCCCAGCAGUCCAACCUGCAUUCCCCUGCAGGAACCGUCUCCACAGCAUCUCAGAAAGGAGGUCAUCUGGGUAUCAUUUGACUAGCUGCCUGGCCCCAGAGCUCAGCCCCUAAUUAGGCCAACCUUCACACUUGCAUUUCAGAAAGUGUCAGGACAGCCUGCUCUUGACUCCCAGGGGAUGGCUGAUGGGACAAGACACUGGAACUCUUACUUUCCAGUUCAACCCCCUUGAUUUUACAGCAGGGUCCAGAUCCCACCUUCCAAGGCCAAGGAAGCUCUCUGAGGGUGGAGCCUGGGCUGUUUUUCAUCUCUUUGCCUCCAACUGCCCAGCAGAGAGAGGGCCCUGCCCACAGUCUGCUUUUACUAGCACUGGUUGACUAAAACCAAUAAUACAAGAUUUCCUGGAUGUUUUCCUGGCUUCUGCAUCUCAGCAGACAAUCAGGCGGGAUGCCUCACCCACUCACCAUUUCUGCCCUGGUGAUGAGUCUCUGGAGCCAUGGUCACACAACUAUGCAAUGUAAUUCAAGUCAAUGAAGCUUUAUUAAAUGUCUCCUGAGUGCCAGACCCUGGGAAUACGGAGGCAUGCCAGGAAUGCCCUGGCCCCAGGAGCUCCUUCUAUGGGGGUGGCACAUGUACACAGAAAAUCCAGUAGAAAAUGUAUUUCAAGUAUUCUCAGGGCUCUGGGGUGGGGGGAGGGAGAGGGGACCCAGACCUACUGAGAAGGGCAAUUUGUGAAUAAGAGCCCCAGGAAGGGUUGGGCUGAGCAGCCCAGAAAGGAUGGGGCCCUUCACUUUCCUGAGAUGCACUACCUUUCUCUCUUCGAGAUCCUUCCAGUUGCUUAUAAUUGUUUCCCCACUACAGUGCCAAAUACCUGGCAACCCUUAAUAAGGGGGGGUAUGGCCUGGGCAGGAAAGGAAGCUUUGACCCAGGCCUCCUAUGACUCAGAGUCAUGGGGAUUGUGAGUAGAGUUAGAGGGCAUGUGAUCAUCAGGCUUUUCCAGUCCCAAGGAUGGCGUUGGUUUGCCUGCCUGAAGAAGAGGAGAGGUAGAAGGAAAGGAAGGCAGCCAUCCUAGAGCCUCAGAAGGCCAUGGCCAGACUCCCCUCCCUCCAGAGGUUAGGACAGAAUUGAAAAACUGAAGGUCUAUUGGAAUCCAAAGUUCAAGGCCAUCUCCACACUGAACAAUGAGAAAAGGAAAAG
This 1326-nucleotide long non-coding RNA is filed under the name Monodelphis domestica (gray short-tailed opossum). RNAcentral describes it as "lncRNA (ENSMODG00000044316.1)". The record is from RNAcentral. Lineage: Eukaryota; Metazoa; Chordata; Mammalia; Didelphimorphia; Didelphidae.